AUCCAAAAACUCCAUCAAUCAAGAACCAAACUAGUCAAGUGAAUAGAAAUGACAUUAAAUACAAUUAUAUUAACUUUGAUCAAAACGUUUGAUACUGAAAUAAGGCUUAAUAAAUAUAAAAUCAAAAAUUGUGAGCUGUGACAGAUUUAGCAUUUCCUCAGAUUUAGCAGUUCCUCAUCCAACCACUAGUCGGAGCUGCAGCUGCAGCACCACAAGCCCGCAGUCUUUGCUUAGUCAGAGCUACAGCCCAGCCACGGGCUACAGGACUCAGCUGAGCCUGUCUGGAGCGUUUUGAAAAUUUUAAGUUCUUCUGUGUAUGAAAUAAAAUAACCCCACUAACCGGAUAAUACAGCUCUCUACAGUUCAUCUUUCAGCCCGAGCAGCUAACAGCAGCAGUUUAGAGCAGCGUCACGGAGGCACUGCUCGGAUUACAUUAUAAACAGGUCAGUUAGCGCGCUGCUAACCUCAGGAUGUUUAUAACUACGGAGUUUAGUGGACACACCACGGCAGCAAGGUUAGACUGUUGAAGGCUACUGAAGACUACUAAAGCAGGCAACGCAGCGUAAGCAAAAAAAAAAACAAAAACCACACACACACACCAAAAUACAAGUUAAGAUAAAAUAUGAAAA
Astyanax mexicanus (Mexican tetra) is the source of this 629-nucleotide long non-coding RNA. RefSeq lists it as uncharacterized. The record is from RefSeq and is a predicted model, not a curated record. Lineage: Eukaryota; Metazoa; Chordata; Actinopteri; Characiformes; Acestrorhamphidae. The transcript has 2 exons.